AUUAGACGAAUCAUCUGGAAAGAUGAAUCAAAGAAGGUAAUAAUCCUGUAGUCGAAAAUGUUGUCUCUCUUGAGUGGAUCCUGAGUACGACGGAGCACGUGAAAUUCCGUCGGAAUCUGGGAGGACCAUCUCCUAAGGCUAAAUACUCUCUAGUGACCGAUAGUGAACCAGUACCGUGAGGGAAAGGUGAAAAGCACCCCGGAAGGGGAGUGAAAUAGAACCUGAAACCGUGUGCUUACAAGUAGUCAGAGCCCGUUAAUGGGUGAUGGCGUGCCUUUUGUAGAAUGAACCGGCGAGUUACGAUUUGAUGCAAGGUUAAGCAGUAAAUGUGGAGCCGUAGCGAAAGCGAGUCUGAAUAGGGCGUUUAGUAUUUGGUCGUAGACCCGAAACCAGGUGAUCUACCCUUGGUCAGGUUGAAGUUCAGGUAACACUGAAUGGAGGACCGAACCGACUUACGUUGAAAAGUGAGCGGAUGAACUGAGGGUAGCGGAGAAAUUCCAAUCGAACCUGGAGAUAGCUGGUUCUCUCCGAAAUAGCUUUAGGGCUAGCCUCAAGUGAUGAUUAUUGGAGGUAGAGCACUGUUUGGACGAGGGGCCCCUCUCGGGUUACCGAAUUCAGACAAACUCCGAAUGCCAAUUAAUUUAACUUGGGAGUCAGAACAUGGGUGAUAAGGUCCGUGUUCGAAAGGGAAACAGCCCAGACCACCAGCUAAGGUCCCAAAAUAUAUGUUAAGUGGAAAAGGAUGUGGCGUUGCCCAGACAACUAGGAUGUUGGCUUAGAAGCAGCCAUCAUUUAAAGAGUGCGUAAUAGCUCACUAGUCGAGUGACACUGCGCCGAAAAUGUACCGGGGCUAAACAUAUUACCGAAGCUGUGGAUUGUCCUUUGGACAAU
This 891-nucleotide ribosomal RNA is filed under the name Staphylococcus aureus. Its description in RNAcentral is "partial 23S ribosomal RNA". It matches the Rfam family "Bacterial large subunit ribosomal RNA", at positions 328 to 1226 of the family's 2925-position model. Lineage: Bacteria; Bacillati; Bacillota; Bacilli; Caryophanales; Staphylococcaceae. The record is from RNAcentral.